GACGAACGCUGGCGGCGUGCUUAACACAUGCAAGUCGAACGGAAAGGCCCUGCUUUUGUGGGGUGCUCGAGUGGCGAACGGGUGAGUAACACGUGAGUAACCUGCCCUUGACUUUGGGAUAACUUCAGGAAACUGGGGCUAAUACCGGAUAGGAGCUCCUGCUGCAUGGUGGGGGUUGGAAAGUUUCGGCGGUUGGGGAUGGACUCGCGGCUCAUCAGCUUGUUGGUGGGGUAGUGGCUUACCAAGGCUUUGACGGGUAGCCGGCCUGAGAGGGUGACCGGCCACAUUGGGACUGAGAUACGGCCCAGACUCCUACGGGAGGCAGCAGUGGGGAAUAUUGCACAAUGGGCGGAAGCCUGAUGCAGCAACGCCGCGUGCGGGAUGACGGCCUUCGGGUUGUAAGCCGCUUUCGCCUGUGACGAAGCGUGAGUGACGGUAAUGGGUAAAGAAGCACCGGCUAACUACGUG
RNAcentral lists this ribosomal RNA (468 nucleotides) under uncultured bacterium. Its description in RNAcentral is "partial 16S ribosomal RNA". It matches the Rfam family "Bacterial small subunit ribosomal RNA", at positions 28 to 507 of the family's 1533-position model. The record is from RNAcentral.